Long non-coding RNA from Pistacia vera, 162 nucleotides. RefSeq lists it as uncharacterized. The transcript is spliced from 3 exons. Lineage: Eukaryota; Viridiplantae; Streptophyta; Magnoliopsida; Sapindales; Anacardiaceae. The record is from RefSeq and is a predicted model, not a curated record.
AGCUUGCCAAAUUAAUACAAAAGAGUAAGCAUCUAGUAGUGUUUACAGGUGCAGGAAUAUCUACUUCUUGCGGUAUACCUGAUUUUCGAGGUCCCAAGGGAAUAUGGACGCUACAGCGUGAAGGCAAACCCUUGCCUGAAGCAUCCCUACCAUUUCAUCGCG